CAUGUGGGUCAUGAACCCAGGUCUGGAAAAUUGGAUAGUGUCGACAUCUCAACUCUUCGAUCUUCAGUAACCCUAAAACAGACAGGCCAUUAAUCUCUUUGACAUCACAUCUCUUCGCCCUUUCCCCUUCUUCAGCGGAUCGUUCAAUCAACACCAUAUUCAUGAGUGUGCAAUGAAUCAUCUGGAAAUCUCAUUAAUGGGUUCCUUUCGUCUCCCUCUCAGAUUCUUUAUAUCAUUCAUAUUUUCCCUCACAUUUGUGACACACAAAAUUCUCUCAAGCCAUGAAUUCUAACAGCAAAUCAACCGUUUCCGGCGAUUUUACCACGAAGAAACCGAACGGAAAGGAUGUUGUCUCCUCCGCGAGCCGGUCGAACGAGACGGGCAAACCCAAACCUUCAUCUCUAUUGCUAAAUAUGUUUCCGGUGAUCCUAAGAAGAGAUGACGAGAGUAGAUGAGCAGUAGGGGUUUCUUUAAUUGGUUCAAAGUAUAUGGCUGCUUCAAUCUCAGCAAGACUUAUUCGCACUGUUGGAUCCUUUGCAGCUUUAGGACGCAGCAGCAGUAUUAUCUCAGUUUCUAAGCUCUUUCUUAUAUGCAAAAUUGUAAAUCUUUUUUUUUUGUUGAUCUCUAAUUGCUUCUCUUUCUCUUUGGCACAGCAAAUGCAUCUGGAAAUUUUUUAAGCUCUCUUCCAUGUAAUCUAAAGGUUGAUGUCUACAUCACUUCGAUUGCAUAUACAGACUCACCAAAUCGAAGUAGUCUGUUGGCUUAUACACAAAUAUCUUAUUGGCGUCAAUGUCGUUCUCGGAUAUGAGGUACCACCAUCGUUUCUUUUUUGAAAUGCUCUCUUUGUGAUUGUAUCUAUGUUGAGUCUAAUCUACAGAUGGAGCAAAUGCGGUUGGGGAAGACUCUACAAGCAAUUUUUUCUUGAGCUAUCUGAAGUUUCAUCAAGGAUUGCGAGGGCCAUUUCUUGAGUCAAUGAGAUCUGCUUCUUAAAGACAAGUUCUGAUGUUGUGUUGUUUAAUGUUGUGUCUUGAUUUGGCAGUUUUGCUUUGUUCUUUUAACAUAACCGAUGGUUGGGUAAAAGGUUCACUCCAGAACUUGAAGUUUUUAGGUAUGUUGGUGAUAAGGAUUGCCGUAGGGAUUUGUAGGGAUUUGCGUAAGGUAAUGCAUGAUUAUGUCAACAAGGGCUCUAAGACGAGAGUAAAUUUUUUUGUCUUUCUCAAGAAACUUUGGGUUUAUCAGCUGUGUAUAAUUAUAUUGUUUUGUUUGUUUUGUUUCAGAAAUCUUUGUUACCGUUUGAUGUGUUGUUGACAACGUAUGAUAUAGCAUUGGUGGAUCAAGACUUCCUUUCUCAGGUUCCGUGGUAACUGAUGAAGCUCAAAUACUCAAGAAUCCCAACAGUGUAUGUUACCUACCUAGAAAAAUUCAUCGAGUUGUGAAAUGAAUGAUAGAUCAUUGGUUAGUUGAUACUGUGAAUUCAAGAUUAACUUCCAUUCAUUUCACACAUCUCUUAUGUAGCCGUUUAUAUGGAUUUAUUGUAUCGGUUUACUUUCCAGCCGAAAGCUCUCCACUUCUAUUUUGACUCCUGAUUGUACAUU
Molecule: long non-coding RNA, 1595 nt
Organism: Brassica rapa (field mustard)
Lineage: Eukaryota; Viridiplantae; Streptophyta; Magnoliopsida; Brassicales; Brassicaceae
Source: RefSeq, a predicted model, not a curated record